This is an RNA transcript of Lycium ferocissimum, 3261 nucleotides long. RefSeq lists it as uncharacterized. The record is from RefSeq and is a predicted model, not a curated record. The transcript is spliced from 2 exons. Lineage: Eukaryota; Viridiplantae; Streptophyta; Magnoliopsida; Solanales; Solanaceae.
UUUUAUCUCAAUUUUUCCCUAAUUUUUUUCCGGUUCUCUUCAAAUUUACCAAUCUUAUGGCUUAAAUUCAUUGUUGUUGUCAAUAUUUUUCUGCUUAAUCAAAAUUGUUUGUUCAUUUCUCUUUUACGUCCUUAAUCAGUCUACUAUUAUUUUGCGUCCUUGCAUGAUAUUAUUUUUCUUCAAACUACUAUUUCAAUUCUCUUCAUCUUCUCAGCUAGGUGUUCUAAUUACAGGUAUGUUUGUCUUUCAAUUUUGCCCAAAAGUUCAUCACAUUACAAUAUCUACAAAAGAAUAAAGAAUAAAUACGACAAAUUUUGCUUUCAGGUAUUGCUCAUAGUUGAAAUUUGCCUCAUAGAACUUGGGGAUAAACAAUAAUUCAGAAACUUAAUUAUAAGCUUUUGAUUUCAAUUUUCUUUUUACUUGAUUCUGGCGAAGGCUUCUUUACAAUGAAACUCGCAUUUUUAUUUUCCUAUACUAUUGCUCAAAAUGCAUUCUUUUAGAAGUAUACGCUUUGUCAAUAUGAUUAUAUCACUGAUCUCUAUUUCAUCAGAGAAGUUCACUAAUUAAAUGGUUUCCAGUUAUGACCAGUUAACAAGAAAACAAAAAAUCACCCUAGAGCGUAGUUCUCAAAUUAUAAGAUAUGAAUAUGUGCCUACUAAUUAAUUAAUUUUUAGAAGAGCAACUAAACUGAACUAGUAGAUGUCCUAAGAGUGAAGCAAGGGACGACCAAUGGCAUUUCAGUAAUAUAUUGCUAAUUUGAGGGCAGAUUGUCAUACGUAUAAUCUCAGCUUUCUCCUUCGUAUCCGUUACUUUCUGGAAUCAACUCGCUCUUCCACAGCUCUCCUAAUUUUUCAGAUUUUUCAAUAUCGAUGCGGGUAGCUUUGCCGUGUUCAUGAGCAACAGACCAGGUUAGGUUAUCUAGAGUGCUGAUGUUUCUGGUGAGAAGUAUGAGAAAAUGAUAUGUCAUAUUAGGUCUUCUAUUUGAACUAUGUCCCAUCUCUUUAUUACAAUACGGGAUUUUUCUUCUCAUUAGUAGCACUAAUGAUUGUGCACUCAACGCUAUAAAUUGGAUAAAGCUUGAUAGAUUAGUCUAAUUUGUAUGAUGAUGAAACUAGAAAGCUUAUUAUAACAAGUUACACUUCAGGUCUCAUGUGCAUGCAUAGCUUUGCUCGCCUAUUCUGAAAUAAAAUAACAAUUUUUUAUGAGGUUUUCUGCAGUUUAUGUUUAAAACUAAAUACAAUUUUCAGUAGUUCCUUAACUAGUUUCUUAACAUACGAUGCCUAAUCAUUUUUUGUUUGAUCGAGAUGGAAAAUUCUCAGUAUGGAAGUGGUGUAUAAGAAUGUUUAAGUAGGCCUUCUAUUGAAGGAUUAAUUGAGUCUGAAUGCUACAUAUAAUCAGGUAUAGAAUCAACAAUUUUUAAAAAAAAUCCUAACUGGAUAAAAAGAACUAUAAAUAUAAUCCCUCAAAUUGCAGAUAUUGUUGAAGAGUUCUCAUCAUUGAAAUUUGUUCACAGUUCAUAAUUUAAAAAUCAUCAUAAUAGGUGUAUGAGUGCACGUAUGGCCAGGCCAUAUGUGAGCUGAAUAUUACCUCGGAAUCUGUUGAAUAUGUCAAGGCCAUGCAGCUGUGCAGUAAAUCGCAUCUUUCUUUGUGUAAUAAUAAACUAAAAGCUGAAGUUAUUCGCUAACUAUCAGUUAGGGAUGCAAUUUUUUCCUUUUUUGAUUGAGCUUGCUCUGACUAUCGACUCACAAUUCCUUCUUGACCUUCUACGCCAGUUGGCUAUGAAUGAACCUAUCAACAUCGCUUCUUGGUCAUUGGAUGGACCAAGGAAAUAAGAAACUUUAACUCAAGAGGGAUUCAGAGAUGGUUAGAUUUACUGCAAUAGUAAAGUGGAUAGCGUAAACUUUCUGUACCAAGAAAAUUAGAAGUUUCGAUAGGAAUUAUUAUCAGUGAUAAAGAAAAAUUGCUUCGGAGAUCCAAAUUCAUUAUAUAAUAUAAAGAAUGAAUAAGCAGUUUCUACGUAGGCCUUACUCUCCAUAGUCAUAAAAAUAAUGGAUUCCGUAGUGAUACUAUGAUUAGUUUGAAAAUUUUGAUCUGCAGUCUAUAAGGUGAUUUGUGACUUCAAAAUGGUUGUAGUUUACGAGAUGGUACAAAUGAAGUUUUGCAUCUGCUAAAAAUCUUUAUCUGCCAAAAUACAUGUGUAUUACACGUAAGCCAAAAGGUGAUAAUGUAGCUGUAAGGAGGAAUUCUCAAGGGUUCUUAUGGUUUCAUGGUAUCCAUUUCUUAUAUUUCUUCUACUGACAGAGUGAUUUGAUUUCAAGAGCUUUGGUUUUUUUAUCUAGGUACGUAUAAUAUCAUUAAAAUGUAUAACUACUAACAAAACUCCCAGAACUGACUGUUCUGAUACUAUCCAUAUCAAAUGGAUCCACCCACACCCAGGGAUUUUUAAACUAAAUAUUGACGGUGCUUUUAAGAACAGGUCUACUGCUGCAAUUGGGGAGUAAUUAUAAACUCCAACGGUGACUGGAUAGUGGGAUACUGCAAAAAAGUCCAUGCUAUCUCCCACAAACAGGCAGAAUUAAUGGCACUCCAAGAUGGUUUUCUCCUGGCAAAAUAAAAAAAUCUCACGCUUACUGAGAUUGAAACUAAUUCUACUGAGGUACUACAUUUAUUGCAAUCACCGCUACCUAUUUACCAAGCUAUAAAUUGAUGUUUGCAGGUCUCUAUUGAAGAAGUUGCAGAAUCCACUGGUCAGGCAUUGCUUUCGGCAAGGAAGCCAAGUUGCACAUCUUUUGGCGCAAGAAGUAAUGAAGCUAGCAAUAUAUAAUACUCUAGCUACUAUGGAUAAUCCAUCUACUACUAUAUCAGAAGCAGUCCAGGCAGACUGGGAAGGAACAACUACUACAAAGACAUUUCCUGUUUAUUGGUGUAACAAACUAAGUAGUUUUGGUAACGUUUGUGUAAUGGCUGCGGCUACUAAUAAUAAUAAUAAUAAUAGUGCUGCUACUAAUAGUGCAAAUGCACAUGCUACUUCCUCUGAAGUUACUUAAGAUUAAUAAAAUUGUGUUUAACCAAAAAAAAAAAAAAAAAAGUGAGAAGCUAAUAUUGUCAAAAGUUCCUCGAGAACUAUGACAUUUUAAAUUGUUUCUCCCUUUAUCGGUGUUGGUUUUGAAGUAUUUUAUAAGAUAAAAAAAAUUGAUCCGGAAUCCGAUAUAAUAUCUUUAAGAUGAUUCUCGGUAAAUUAGAUGUCUUACAAGUUUUUCU